Molecule: long non-coding RNA, 635 nt
Organism: Ictalurus punctatus (channel catfish)
Lineage: Eukaryota; Metazoa; Chordata; Actinopteri; Siluriformes; Ictaluridae
Exons: 3
Source: RefSeq, a predicted model, not a curated record
CUACUGUUUACGGAAGUGCGUGUACGUGCUAACGUUUCUUGGAAACAGUGCGCGCGAAUCAUCAUUUAGUUUUACGUUUAGUCAUUAUUCCUGCUACGAAGCUUUGCAAAAGGUAUUCCAAUCUCUCCAGAAAUGAAACGCCGCUUUAUAAUAAUAAUAAACGACAUGUAAAACAAAUAUGUUUAUUUUUGUGCUGAAACGUUGCAACACUCACCCACUGAAACCAUUUCUUCUGCUGCCUGCGCCUCAGUCAGCGGGAGUCACAGCGCCACCCAGCGACUCGAAGUCAGUGGGAAACGCUCGAUCUUUCAGAUGUGCUUUCCUCGACCAUAUUCUGAGCUCGCCAAGCCUGCCAUGCUGAACCCGUUCUCUCCAUGACAUCCGCUGCGGCAUUAGGAGCUGACCUUAGUGGAUUACUGGACAGGAAGUCCUACAAGGUGACAGGUUCUGAUUACAGGAAAUUCACCUGCUGUAUUUUCUUUAAAUUGUCCCGACAACUGAGAGCGACGUGUGCAAGAACAUCCAGAAGAACCUAACUGCCCUGACUGAUAGGGGUGAGUGCGUUCUGCUCCGGUUUACGCUAUGCUGCAGUUAUCAUGCUGCGAUUAAGAGUCCUGUUAUAACAGGUACUGGAA